CACGUAGGGUGCGAGCGUUGUCCGGAAUUAUUGGGCGUAAAGAGCUCGUAGGCGGUGUGUCGCGUCGGCCGUGAAAACCUGCAGCUUAACUGUGGGCUUGCGGUCGAUACGGGCAUCACUGGAGUUCGGCAGGGGAGACUGGAAUUCCUGGUGUAGCGGUGAAAUGCGCAGAUAUCAGGAGGAACACCGGUGGCGAAGGCGGGUCUCUGGGCCAUAACUGACGCUGAGAAGCGAAAGCAUGGGGAGCGAACAGG
Molecule: ribosomal RNA, 254 nt
Filed under: uncultured bacterium
Lineage: Bacteria
Description: partial 16S ribosomal RNA
Rfam family: Bacterial small subunit ribosomal RNA
Source: RNAcentral